Molecule: RNA transcript, 1999 nt
Organism: Pyrus x bretschneideri (Chinese white pear)
Lineage: Eukaryota; Viridiplantae; Streptophyta; Magnoliopsida; Rosales; Rosaceae
Gene name: altered inheritance of mitochondria protein 32-like
Exons: 4
Source: RefSeq, a predicted model, not a curated record
AAGACAAGACAGUAAUAUUCCACACGCGGAGAAGGCCAAUAAAUUAAUCUCAACUGAACUCGCUUCCCACCCACCCACCGCCACCGUUCUCCGCCACCAUAUUCCCAAAUCUCCCCACCUGGAUCCUCUCGAUUUCAUCCUCCUCUGCCUUGCUUAACUCUAUCUGCUUUGCUCUUCUACUGAUUUCCUCUCUCUCCCCCCAAUUCCCAAUCAUAAAUCUAAUCCACUCCCACUGAAGUAGUUCUCAUCAGUGGCCAUUUUAAAAUUGUGGGGUUGUCGGUGGGUGCCUCUGGGUUUUAUUCUUUGCCCCCUAAACAAAAGACACGCCCUAUAUUUGUAGGAUCCUCAACCGUGAUUCCGGAGAUGGGUAUGUUUUCUGAAACCUACAGUACGAAGCAAGUCCUUCUAUUAUAGAAAGUCUUCAUCUUUCUCCCUCUUCAAUCAUACAAAGUCUCCUUACUUCGUUAGUUUUUUCCAUUUUUAUCUAGACCAAAGCUUCCAUCUUUACUUCAAAUGUAGUCCUACGAAUAAAGGGUACUCUUUGUUUUGGUUAAUUAGUCAGCUGCGGAUUUCGAUUUGGAUGCCAAGUGGCUGAUCGAUCCAAAACAUCUUUUUGUUGGUCCGAGGAUUGGGAAGGCGCAUACCAAAGUGUACGAAGGAAAGGGCUUGAAAGAGUCGGAUGUGGACAGCUAUGUUGAUGACGUCCUUGUGAAUGACAAACCAUGGGCCUCCGUAGUGCAAGAGGCGUUGUAUUUGCAUGUGCACAUGGUAGUCGAGAUAAUAGAUGUGGUGUUUGUGGACCUGUCCUCAUUGAUAAGUUCAAAGAGGAGGCUGAGCUGCGAGGAUUGACGAAUCAGGUAUUUGUUACUGCUUGCUCUCACAUUGGAGGCCACAAAUAUGCUGGAAACUUGAUUAUCUACAGCCCAGGUUCAGAUGGAAGCAUAACAGGCCAUUGGUAUGGCUAUGUCACUUCUGACGAUGUGCCGGAAUUGCUUGAUCAGCAUAUUGGGAAAGGAGAGAUCAUCGAACGACUUUGGAUGUUUGUGCAUUUUUGGUUUUGCUUACCCCCUUCUGAUGAAGAUUUCACUGGAACUGAAGUGUCUGUCAUAUUUUUUGAUUGCCGAUUAUUUCUAGUGUUGUAUGAUAGAUUAUUGAUAUAGAGUUGCAUUAACAUCGAGGAACCAAAUCAAACAACUAGUGUGAGCCAAAUCAAACAACCUUUUUUUAUUGAUAAACAAAACCAGAGGUGGUUUGGGGAACGGGGUAUGGGGUCAAGUAGGCACUUUACAGAGAUGGAGAAAGCGAAGCAGAUCUAGCGAAUUGGAUAUAACGGCAUUACCCUGGGGCAAAUGGGAGUAUCUUCUGAUGAAGCUGAAAAAAAUUAAUGACCCGAAGCUUCCAAAUGGAGGAGAAAGUAAGAAAAUCAAGGAGAAGCCCCAAGAAAACAGCAAUCAGAUUCAGAAGAAUGAGAACUUUUCAGGCUGUUGCAAGGGGCUAAUAGUAAUCGAUUUACAUGCUGCAAAGAAGUAAGUUUGUAGCAGAAUGGUGGAAGUGAGGAAAAGAAGCUGAAAGAAACGAGAGAGUCGUGUGCCAGGAAGGAUGCCUUAGGGAAGCUGCCAAGCUUGAUUGGGAACUGGGAGCAAAGCGAUGUUCUCGCAGCUGCUGCCGUGGUUGGAGCAGUGGCAACAGUGGCCGUGGCCUAUAGCUUUUAUAGAAGGUCAGGCUGAAACAUACUCUAAUCCAUGUUGGGUUCUGCCACGGGUGUAGAGGCCCUAUAUUUUUUUCCCCUUGUAGAAAGAUGUUAUAACGUCAAUUAAAUAAGCUCUUAUAUAAAAGGAGAAUAUGGUAGCUAUACUAAACGUUCAUUUUUGGAGGGUGGGAUGAUUUCCCGAAGCUAAGCCAUAUACAGUUACAAAAAUAUUCACUAUUCCUUUCCGUAGUUGAUUGCUUACACAACUGAUUUGUUGUUCCAAUAUACUGUUGAAUGGUUUUAUCUUGA